UACGUAGGGUGCAAGCGUUAAUCGGAAUUACUGGGCGUAAAGCGUGCGCAGGCGGUUUUGUAAGUCUGUUGUGAAAUCCCCGGGCUCAACCUGGGAAUUGCGAUGGAGACUGCAAGGCUAGAAUCUGGCAGAGGGGGGUAGAAUUCCACGUGUAGCAGUGAAAUGCGUAGAGAUGUGGAGGAACACCGAUAGCGAAGGCAGCCCCCUGGGUCAAGAUUGACGCUCAUGCACGAAAGCGUGGGGAGCAAACAGG
This 253-nucleotide ribosomal RNA is filed under the name uncultured bacterium. Its description in RNAcentral is "partial 16S ribosomal RNA". It matches the Rfam family "Bacterial small subunit ribosomal RNA", at positions 524 to 776 of the family's 1533-position model. The record is from RNAcentral.